Molecule: long non-coding RNA, 1084 nt
Organism: Rosa rugosa (rugosa rose)
Lineage: Eukaryota; Viridiplantae; Streptophyta; Magnoliopsida; Rosales; Rosaceae
Exons: 3
Source: RefSeq, a predicted model, not a curated record
UCUUGGGUAGUUCAAAAAUAUAACCCAAGAGAUGAACUCGAGACUUGGAAUUGGAUUUCCCUACAGAAGCCCUGCCUCUUCUUCUUCUUCUUCUUCUUCUUCUUCUUAUUCCAGUCGACACAGGGAAACCCUACAAUCCAAACCCUUUCUUAGAAUGGGAGAUAUUAUUCAUGUAGGCUUCUUCUUGAACUUGCUACGCCUCAAAGUGGAAUAGCGACUCCGGAAUGUUGGAACCCGAACCCGGAAAAUAUUUGGUUAUGUGGAUAGUGGGUGUUCAGUUCCAUCAUGCUUGAGCUUCAGAUUGAGAUCAAUCGCAAAUAAACAGAACAAAUAUGUCAUCUUUCCUUCAGAUGACGAUGAUGAUGACGAUUCUCACGUUGAUGACAAUAUAUGGUAUGGUAAAUUGUCUCCUAGUACCCUGCAGCGUCAAGUUUUUUGCCGGAUCAACAAGAUCUGAUUAUGAAUCAUCAGUUAUCAGAAACAGAGGAGUGAAUCGGUUGCUUACCUAACUACAGGGUAAAGUUUUGAAACCAGAGUGAAAUAUGGAUUCUCCACCAGGUUUCUCUUUGAAGCGGAAACGUGAACAUCGACGUAAGCAUGAUAAGUCAGAACAUGAAGAGAAUGCAACCGCAAAGCCUGGACCCGACAUCUUGAAGUCAAACAAACAGAGUACGAAUACAAGCAAGGUUGAGGUAGGUCAAGCAUUUAAUGGUGUUGUGGAAGAAUAUUUCUAUGGCGGGGUUCGAAUGAAGGUGAAGGUAGGAGAUACUGAGAUGAAGGGUGUUGCAUUUUAUCCCGUCCCUCCGCCAAAUGUUGUUCCCCCUGAUAUUAAGAUGGUGACGAGAAAGGACCUUGCUAUACCAGCCGUGCGUUCUUUACUUCAUCGCUCAGCACAAAGUAAUAGGCAACGUGCUGAGGUGAAAAAGGAGAAACCUGCAGAUCCUUAGAUGUGCUAGGCUUUUCGGUUUUUCAAUGUUUGUAACUUUGUGUUCCAAUUUCAGUUUGAACUUCUAUAAUGUUCAAGAUUUGCGACUUUGUUUGGGUUCCAGACAAUGAACAAGUUGCUACCGUUGGUUGUUGUUUA